RNAcentral lists this ribosomal RNA (253 nucleotides) under uncultured bacterium. RNAcentral's name for it is "partial 16S ribosomal RNA". It matches the Rfam family "Bacterial small subunit ribosomal RNA", at positions 524 to 776 of the family's 1533-position model. The record is from RNAcentral.
UACGUAGGGUGCAAGCGUUGUCCGGAAUUAUUGGGCGUAAAGAGCUCGUAGGCGGUCUGUCGCGUCGGAUGUGAAAAUCCAGGGCUCAACCCUGGACCUGCAUUCGAUACGGGCAGACUAGAGUUCGGUAGGGGAGACUGGAAUUCCUGGUGUAGCGGUGAAAUGCGCAGAUAUCAGGAGGAACACCGAUGGCGAAGGCAGGUCUCUGGGCCGAUACUGACGCUGAGGAGCGAAAGCGUGGGGAGCGAACAGG